RNAcentral lists this ribosomal RNA (253 nucleotides) under uncultured bacterium. RNAcentral describes it as "partial 16S ribosomal RNA". It matches the Rfam family "Bacterial small subunit ribosomal RNA", at positions 524 to 776 of the family's 1533-position model. The record is from RNAcentral.
UUCAGAGGGUGCAAGCGUUGUUCGGAAUUAUUGGGCGUAAAGCGCGUGUAGGCGGCUACCUAAGUCGGAUGUGAAAGCCCCUGGCUUAACCGGGGAAGUGCACCCGAAACUGGGUAGCUAGAGUGCAAAAGAGGGUCGCGGAAUUCCCAGUGUAGAGGUGAAAUUCGUAGAUAUUGGGAGGAACACCGGUGGCGAAGGCGGCGACCUGGGUUGACACUGACGCUGAGGCGCGAAAGCGUGGGGAGCAAACAGG